GCCUCUUGGGCUUCCCCGCCACCUUCAGCCACCUCUAGCCGCCCUUGGGCCAUGGAACCACGACGGGCUCAGCCACCGCCUCUCCCUUUGAGAACCACCUCCUCCAACAUCCCCGCCACCCUUCUCAACAGGUAUGAACUCGGUAAAUUGCUGGGCCGCGGCAGCUUCGCCAAGGUUUACGCAGCUCGUUCUCUGACUGAUAACAAGCUCGUUGCUAUAAAGAUUAUCGACAAAACACGCACGGUGGACGCUGCCAUGGAACCUCGGAUAAUAUGCGAGAUUUCCGCCAUGCGCCGCCUCCAGCACCAUCCUAAUAUUCUUAAAAUCCAUGAAGUCAUGGC
This 341-nucleotide unclassified non-coding RNA is filed under the name Hevea brasiliensis (rubber tree). The record is from RNAcentral. Lineage: Eukaryota; Viridiplantae; Streptophyta; Magnoliopsida; Malpighiales; Euphorbiaceae.